AUUGACCAAGUGAGAAGUGGGGUUAGGCUGGAGGGCACAAACCAGGAUGGACAGUAUACCAUUGUUUUCUGUCCCAUCGUCUCCCGUGUUGGUUCAGAUGUGGAGGCAGCCAUGCAAAACAUGCCAUCCAAUAAAAAAGUCGUCCUGGUCCUGAUGCAUCACACCAGAGAUCCAGACUACUCCACCGCUGGGAGGAGCUGGUCAGAAGUUUAUCGGAACGUCGACUUAGAAGUUCAUGUCCUCUUCCAUGAAAGUGUUCCUGGGUUACUAACCUGUUCUAAGAACGCAGAUGCAGUGUAUCAAAUGCAAGAGUACUUCCAACAAAGCAGAAUUAACUCUCAGCGUUGGCACAUGAUCCUUCUUGCAUUGGUGAUUGUUAUUAUUGCUGUCGUUCUAUUUUCACUGUUGUUUUACUUUUUAGAGGUAAAAGAAAAACCAACAAACAGAACCAAUUAAAAAUCAGACAGUAAUAUUGUUCAGUGUUAAUGUCUCUGAGUACAUGUUUGUAUAAAUGUAAACAUGUAUGGAACAAGAAGGUUUGGGGUUCAAUUCCUAGGGUUAGCAUGUUAGCAUGUUAGCAUGUUCCUCUCCAGGUACCAAGACUUCCUUCUAAAUCCAAAAAAUCACAAAUGUUCCAUUAAACUGUGUUCAUGUAAUUUGUUCAGUCAUUUCUGAGUUUUUCUGGUUUAAAUGUGCAAACAAAGUUACAUUUGAAUCCCCAGUGUCUUUAAUCUGUACAAGCUUUUCUCACUGAUUUAUAUGGCUGCGUUGGAUUGUGUUGAUGUUUUUUUUUUUAAAAGUGCCUUCAGACAUGAGUUGUGUAUAAAAAACAGAAAUGAAUUAAAAUGGACAGAAUUGCAACAGAUUUUAAGCCGUAUAACAAACAUCCACUUAUAAAUGUUUUGACUGAUCAAUAACAGGAUUGUAUUAAUAAGUUGUCUAAUAUCAUCUAGUUUUCAACUAUCAUUACUUUGGUGGCUGUGUUGCUGCUUUUAUGUGAUGCGUGUAGCUGUAGGUGUUUAAAUAUCAGUAUAUUCUGAGCUCUUGCCUACCUUGAAUGAAGGUGAAUUGUCUUCCGUUUCCUUGGUAAAUAAAAGUGUAAAGAAUAAAA
Long non-coding RNA from Poecilia latipinna (sailfin molly), 1111 nucleotides. RefSeq lists it as uncharacterized. The transcript is spliced from 2 exons. The record is from RefSeq and is a predicted model, not a curated record. NCBI's taxonomy places the organism in Eukaryota, Metazoa, Chordata, Actinopteri, Cyprinodontiformes, Poeciliidae.